GGCAUCUACAGGGGGGAUAACUGAUGGAAACGUCCGCUAAAACCGCAUAGGUGUAGAGAUCGCAUGAACUCUAUAUGAAAAGUGCUACGGGACUGGUAGAUGAUGGACUUAUGGCGCAUUAGCUUGUUGGUAGGGUAACGGCCUACCAAGGCGACGAUGCGUAGCCGACCUGAGAGGGUGACCGGCCACACUGGGACUGAGACACGGCCCAGACUCCUACGGGAGGCAGCAGUAGGGAAUUUUCGGCAAUGGGGGAAACCCUGACCGAGCAACGCCGCGUGAAGGAAGAAGUAAUUCGUUAUGUAAACUUCUGUCAUAGAGGAAGAACGGUGGAUAUAGGGAAUGAUAUCCAAGUGACGGUACUCUAUAAGAAAGCCACGGCUAACUACGUGCCAGCAGCCGCGGUAAUACGUAGGUGGCGAGCGUUAUCCGGAAUUAUUGGGCGUAAAGAGGGAGCAGGCGGCACUAAGGGUCUGUGGUGAAAGAUCGAAGCUUAACUUCGGUAAGCCAUGGAAACCGUAGAGCUAGAGUGUGUGAGAGGAUCGUGGAAUUCCAUGUGUAGCGGUGAAAUGCGUAGAUAUAUGGAGGAACACCAGUGGCGAAGGCGACGAUCUGGCGCAUAACUGACGCUCAGUCCCGAAAGCGUGGGGAGCAAAUAGGAUUAGAUACCCUAGUAGUCCACGCCGUAAACGAUGAGUACUAAGUGUUGGGUGUCAAAGCUCAGUGCUGCAGUUAACGCAAUAAGUACUCCGCCUGAGUAGUACGUUCGCAAGAAUGAACUCAAGGAAUUGACGGGGGCCCGCACAAGCGGUGGAGCAUGUGGUUUAAUUCG
RNAcentral lists this ribosomal RNA (832 nucleotides) under uncultured Erysipelotrichaceae bacterium. RNAcentral describes it as "bacterial SSU rRNA". It matches the Rfam family "Bacterial small subunit ribosomal RNA", at positions 128 to 953 of the family's 1533-position model. The record is from RNAcentral. Lineage: Bacteria; Bacillati; Bacillota; Erysipelotrichia; Erysipelotrichales; Erysipelotrichaceae.